AGGUGUGUGCCCGUCGGAUGAGACAUUGCUGAGAGGUUGAGUAGGAUACUUGGAGAAAGGGCUUGGGAGGAAACUGACAGAUGUUGAGGGAAUGGAAAUUUGUACCAUUCACAGCAUUUUUUUCUAGAUCUGGAAACACAAAAGCUUACUUGUACACGGUCUUUCUGUUAUUUAUUUAUUCCCCCCCCCUUUUUAUUCCUGGUAAUGGUGAUUCCCAUUGUUCACAGAGCAGUGGUCAAAAGUGAGGGCACCUGGGUGGCUCAGUUGGUUGAGCGUCCGACUUUGGCUGAGGUCAUGAUCUCACAGUUUGUGAGUUCAAGCCCCAUGUCAGGCUCUGUGCUGACAGCUCGGAGCCUGGAGUCUGCUUCGGAUUCUGUGUCUCCCUCUCUCUCUCUCUCUGUUCCUCCCCCACUCACACUCUGUCUCUCUCUCCCUCGAAAAUAAAGAUUAAAAAAAUAGACCCACACUUGGAGUUAUUUAAAAAAAAAGUGGGGGGGAGUCCAAUAUAGCUGGGGUAUAUUGUCAAAACCCUUUUUGGAAACCCAUUUGGCAGUGUGCGAAGACCAUAAACAUUUUUCGUAACCCUUGAGCAAAUGAUUUUACUCCUGGGAAUCCAUCUCAGUACCAACAACAGCAACAACUGCUCAGAGGUGUUCUUUACUUUUUUUUUUAAUUUUAAUUUUUUAAAAUUUUUAUUCAUUUAAGGAAUUUCCACACCCCGCAUGGGGUUCGAACUCACAAGCCCGAGAUCCAGAGUCACAUGCCCCACCGGGCUGAGCCAACCAGGUGCCCCUCCAGGAUGUUCUUUAAACUAUUGUUUACAGUACUUAGAAUCUUAAUGUAAACCUAAGAAUAUGGGACAUGGAACUAUCAAAUGUUUUCUUGAUGUUGGUUGGCAAAUGAUGUCAUAACAUCGGGAUAGGAUGUGUACUCCUGAUGAUUACAGAUACGUGGGCAAGAUAUGCUCAGUCAUCAUAAUGGAUAACAUUUACUGUCUCCUUAAUACAUGACAGGCGAUGUGUCAGAUCCUUUGUAAUCACUGCCUCCUUGGGCGUGCUCGCCAGAUUCAGCCAGAUUUUUUUGGUCUCCAUUUUACAGAUAAAGAGGAAGGUUCACUGGAUUAUCUGAGGUCGGACUGCUGGGGUGAGAAUUGAACCCCAUCCUGGUUGACGACAGAGUUUACACUCUUAUCAUUCCUCAUGACGUGUGGAUAAUUUUAUUUUUUAAUGCUUAUUGAUUUAUCUUGAGAGAACAAGAGAGAACGUGCACCCGUGUGUACGCGGAUAAGGAGCGGAGAGAGAGGAUCCCAAGCAGCCUCCCCACCAUCAGCACAGAGCCCUACGUGGGGCUCGAUCCCACGAACCGUGAAAUCAUGACCUGAGCUGAAAUCAAAAGUCGGGACGCUUAAUCGACUGAGCCACCCACGCAUCCUUUAUGCGGAUAAUUUUAAGUAAAAAACAAAUAUUAGCCACCCAACC
This 1478-nucleotide long non-coding RNA is filed under the name Lynx pardinus (Iberian lynx). The record is from RNAcentral. Lineage: Eukaryota; Metazoa; Chordata; Mammalia; Carnivora; Felidae.